Molecule: unclassified non-coding RNA, 226 nt
Filed under: plant metagenome
Description: partial contains small subunit ribosomal RNA and internal transcribed spacer 1
Rfam family: Eukaryotic small subunit ribosomal RNA (bases 1-46)
Source: RNAcentral
AAGUCGUAACAAGGUUUCCGUAGGUGAACCUGCGGAAGGAUCAUUAACAAAUCAGUUAUAUGGCUUCGGCCAUAUAAAUUAACCCCAAGCCUGGGAUUGUUCUACAUGAACGGGCUUUGGUUGGGCCGUAUCCCUUGUGGGUAUGGUCCCGGCAAGUGCGCUUCGGUGCACUGGCCACAUAGACGCUUGUACUGUUUGACAGAGUAAGUUGCAUUAAAAAAUACAA